RNAcentral lists this ribosomal RNA (292 nucleotides) under uncultured bacterium. RNAcentral's name for it is "partial 16S ribosomal RNA". It matches the Rfam family "Archaeal small subunit ribosomal RNA", at positions 455 to 746 of the family's 1478-position model. The record is from RNAcentral.
GUGCCAGGAGCCGCGGUAAUACCGGCAGCCCGAGUGAUGGCCGAUCUUAUUGGGCCUAAAGCGUCCGUAGCUGGGUCUGAAAGUCCAUCGGGAAAUCCACUCGCUCAACGAGUGGCCGUCCGGUGGAAACUCCACACCUUGGGACCGGAAGGCUCGAAGGGUACGGCCGGGGUAGGAGUGAAAUCCUGUAAUCCCGUCCGGACCACCGAUGGCGAAAGCACUUCGAGAAAACGGAUCCGACAGUGAGGGACGAAGGCUGAGGUCGCGAACCGAAUUAGAAACCCGGGUGUCC